ACUCAUUCUCCCAGAAUAAUCUAACCUUUGGAUUAACCCUGAAUAAUCCUAAGUUUGGUACAUAUUAUCUUUUACCAAGCCUUUUUAACCUGCAACCGGCUGGGAAAGUCAACACAUGAUUAGUUGACAUUUUGGGCGGUUGAUUUCCCUCGAAAAUGAAUUGAAGGUUCUUUAAUUCUUCCAACCAACUACGUCACCAUCAUCAUCAAUACGAAGCUCCCUCCUUUCCUCACUACAGUCAGUCUCUCUCUUUCACUUUCAUUUAUUCAUUUUUCACUCUCACCUUAUAUUUACUGCUCUCUGUUUGCUCUCCACCUAAAUUCGUACUUGCUACUGUACCUAGUGAAAUCAGCGAAGAAGGCGUGCUCAAAUUGGUGUGGUCCUUGAAGAAAGUGUCUGCGUUUAUAGGUACGUGCUUAGAUUACCCAAAAUUUCUUUCCUUUUAUGGUUAAUUGCGUGUAUCUGGGUUGAUUUUGGAUUUUUGUUAAAAAAGGGCUCUGCUUUAGCGGUUUUUUGACAUGUGCUUAUGGUAAUUGAUUUUGGUGGGUAAUAUGUAAAUUGGUGGGUAAUUAGGGCUGUAUAAUUGUCAUUUGUGUAUUUAUUGUUAUUGUUGGUAAUUGGCUGAAUGUUUAUGUGUUUUUUGGUUGUUGAUGUUUAAUGUCAGAGGAUGGCUGAUCCUUUUGCUGCUGUGGCUCUAAAGUACUGGUAUGGGGGUACUUUUAGAAGUGAUGCUAAUGGUAUGUUAGUGUAUGAGGGUGGUAUAGGAAGGACCUUUAACAUUGGCCCUGAUGAAUUGUGUUGGUGGUGGUUGGAAGAUUUUGCUAAGCAAUGUUGAGGGUAUGAGACAAUAGAAAGUGUGCAUUACUUAGUACCUGGAGAGAACUUAAGUCAAGGGUUAAGGAAGGUAUACUCUGACUAUGAGGUGAAUGAAUUGCGUGAGUUAGUAUUCAAGUAUAGGGGUAUUGAGGUGUAUGUGAUAGAAGGGGUAAAACUGCCAGUGUUAAGACUUCAAUGAACCCUCACAACAACAGAUAAUCUGUCAACCUUUGAUAAAGGAAGACAUGGCACAAAAACUAACAAUAAGGAGGGUCCUACUUAAAACUUUAAUGAUAAAAGAUGCUUCCAACUAGAAAGAUGCCUCACAAAGUUUGACUCCUUCCUUAACUAGUGUAGAUAAAAGUGUCCAACCUAACACCAAAUCCAAGAGAAAGCAGAUACAACCAAAGCAACCACUACUUCCUGUAUCCACAUUCUACCAGGACUCCUCUUAACUAACCCAUUCCUUCCCAACAUCUGAACUGAUACUUAACCUUCCAACAGAUGAUGAUGAUUUAUGGUUAGAUAAUAGAGCAGAUAUUCCUUUAAAGUGGGAUGAGCUUGUGGGGGGGGGGGGGGUAUGAGAGCAGUGGGGAAGAAAAAGAUCCAAAUUACAACCCAGAGAUAGAUAACGGUACAACAAUUGUUGGUGUUGAGGAUGAGUUUGAUGAUAGUGAUGACUGCAGCCUAGAUCUGGAAGAUGAGCUUAAUUUAAGUGGUGAUGAACAUUUGAAUGAGGGUGUAAAUGAUGAAUCAUGUGGGGAUGAGACUGACCUGAGUGAUGAAGGGUACAAACAACAAAGGAGAGAGUUAGAUCUUGCUCUUCCAGGUUAAUAGAGCUAGCAAGUCAACUUCAGUUAGAGGCAGCUGCAGGGAGGUUAGGGAUUGAAUCAUGGGACAAAGCUACAGGGAAAAACCACAUGUGGAAAAAGAAGAUCAAUCUACUGAACAGGGGUAUGAGAGUGAAUAUGAUGACAGUGAGGAUGAUAUGCUAACUCCAAACAACAGUGGAGACGAAGAAGAAAGUAAAUCUGAGAGGAGGAAGAGGUCAGGUGGUCUUAUAAGUGCAGAUACAGAUUUCAGUGUCUUUAAUUGGAAGGUUGGGCAAAGAUUCUCUUCAAGGGUUGCUUUUAGGGAUGUUGUAGCUUGGUAUGGUAUUUGACAAGGUAGGGAUGUGAGUGUUGAAAUUAGUGAUAUACACAGACAACAAAGAUUAAGUGUUAGAUGUGUACAGGGGUGUAGUUUUUUCCUGUAUGGGUCUUGGGAUUCAAGGAGAGCAACCUUUGUUGUUAGGAGGGUGAAAACAGAACAUAGUUGCUGUAAGAACAUGAAAAAAAACAAACAACUCAAGUCAGGUUGGGUAGCAAGACAGUUUCUUGAGGUUUUCAAAAGCAAACCUCACUGCCAGCAAAAGAAAUAAUAGAAAUUUUGAAGAGGGCAUUCAAGAUUGUUGUGAAAAGGGGAUUUGCAUACAAGGUUAAGUAUGUUGCUCAUAAAAUGCUCCAUGGUUCAAUGCAUGAGCAUUAGUAAAAGGUAGGAGGAUACAUAGCUGCAACGAGGAAUAUCAGUCAUGGUGGCACCUUUGAGCUGGUAAUUGUCACAACAUUAAACAAUUUUGUACAACAACCUUCUCCAACUGUAUUUCAAAGGCUUUUUACUUGCUUUGAGGGGCUGAAAAAGGGAUGGAAAGAGGGAUCCAGGAAGGUCAUUUGUGUUGAUGUUUUUUUUUCUGAAAACUUUCUUGGGAGGGCAGUUAUUAUCAGUAAUGGGGAGGGAUGGAAAUGACCAGAUAUAUCCAAUAGCAUGGGCAGUAGCUGAGGGUGAGAACAAUUUGUCAUGGGAGUGGUUCUUUCUACAUCUCAAAGACUGCUUGGAGCUUGAUGAAGGUCAGGGUGUGUGCAUUAUAUCAGAUGAACACAUGGUUGUGAAUUUAUUCACAAUCUUCUGAAUUGAUAUUUGUAGGGUAUUUUGAAUGCUGUGAAGAGUGUCUUGCCAAAGGCAGAACAUAGACACUGUGGUAGGCAUGUGUUUGCACAUUGGCCUAAAUCAUUUAGGGAGGAUGAAAUGAAGCUUCAUUUUUGGAAAAUUGCUAAGUGUUACAACUUAGCUGAUUAUAAUGAUGAUAUUGAGGAUUUGAACAAGUUGGAUCCAUAUGCAGCAGUGGCAUUCAAAGCUUAUAACCCAAAGCUCUUCUGCAAGGAUUUUUUGGAUUGCUCUGUCAAGUCAGAUGCAAUUACAUCAAACAUGGCUGAGACCUUCAAUGGUUACAUAAUCAAUCCUAGAACAAAGCAUCUGAUAUACAUGCUUGAAGACAUUAGGUGUGCUCUGAUGCAAAGACUUCUGCAAAAAAGGCUUGAAAUGCAGAAGUGCACCUCAAAUCUUUGCCCUAAGAUUCAAAUAAGGCUUGAGAAAAAUAAUGAGAAAGCAGCUAUGUGUGAUGUCAGCUCUUCCACAGAGACUCUUUUUAUUGUCAGCCACUAUUUAUGACCAACUGGUUGUUAAUUUGGAGGCUAAGACAUGUACGUACAUGUAGAAAGUGGGACAUGGUUGAAAUACCAUGUUGUCAUGCCAUUGCCUGUAUUUUCUUCUUGCACCAAGAUGCUGAAGAUUAUGUUGGCAGCUGCUAUUGGAGGGAGGUUUAUUUUAAAGCUUAUGCAGGUGAUGUGUUUGUUUUGUUUUUAAGUUAAUAAUGUUUAUUCACAUAUCAUACAUAUCAUGUUAACUAAGUUACUAUUUUUGGAACAGGAUCAAUUCCACCAUGUGAAGGUGAGAGACAUUGGCCAAAGGUGAACUACACAGUGGAACCUCCCCCAAUCAAGAUUGGCCCAGGAAGGCCUAGAAAGAACAGGAUAAAGGAUCUUGCAGAAAUCCCUUCCAAACCAGGGCAUUUAUCAAGGGUAGGCAUGGAGAUGACUUGCAGCCACUGCUUAGUGAAAGGGCACAAUAAAAGGAGGUGCCCUAACAAAGACUAACCACCUGUUGGUGAACCUCCUCAAAAGAAGCAGAAGGGCAGGCCAAGAAAAGAGGGUUCAGAUCUUGCAGCACCUUAUACUGAUAUGCCUAUCUCCAAUGAGCUACCUAUAGUUGCAUAAGUACCAACACUAGGUGAAAAAACAAAAUUGGCACCGGUUCAAAACCCCUUAAUGCCACCGGUUUGAACCGGUGCCAAUGUGGGGGGUGCUAAUAAGUGGUUUUAAAUGCCACCGGUUCAAACCGGUGGCAAAAGUCGGAAUUGCCAAUGGUUAACCGGUGCAAAAAAAUCUCAAAAAAAUUAAUUCAAUGAUUUUGGCACCGGUUAACCGGUGCUAAAAGUGCCAACAAAAUCAUUU
RNA transcript from Chenopodium quinoa (quinoa), 4145 nucleotides. RefSeq lists it as uncharacterized. Lineage: Eukaryota; Viridiplantae; Streptophyta; Magnoliopsida; Caryophyllales; Amaranthaceae. The record is from RefSeq and is a predicted model, not a curated record. The transcript has 2 exons.